RNAcentral lists this ribosomal RNA (465 nucleotides) under uncultured bacterium. RNAcentral describes it as "bacterial SSU rRNA". It matches the Rfam family "Bacterial small subunit ribosomal RNA", at positions 32 to 507 of the family's 1533-position model. The record is from RNAcentral.
AACGCUGGCGGCGUGCCUAACACAUGCAAGUCGAACGGGGUUACGAGAGCUUGCNCUUGUAACUUAGUGGCGAACGGGUGAGUAACGCGUGAGAAACCUGCCUCUCCAGUGGGGGGACAACAGUUGGAAACGACUGCUAAUACCGCAUAAGCGCACAGUAUCGCAUGAUACAGUGUGAAAAACUCCGGUGGUGUGAGAUGGACCCGCGUCUGAUUAGCUAGUUGGUAAGGUAACGGGCUUACCAAGGCGACGAUCAGUAGCCGGCCUGAGAGGGUGAACGGCCACAUUGGGACUGAGACACGGCCCAAACUCCUACGGGAGGCAGCAGUGGGGAAUAUUGCACAAUGGGGGAAACCCUGAUGCAGCGACGCCGCGUGAGCGAAGAAGUAUUUCGGUAUGUAAACUUCUUUAGCAGGGACGAAGGACGUGACGGUACCUGCAGAAAAAGCAACGGCUAACUACGUG